Miniopterus natalensis is the source of this 758-nucleotide non-coding RNA. The record is from RefSeq and is a predicted model, not a curated record. Lineage: Eukaryota; Metazoa; Chordata; Mammalia; Chiroptera; Miniopteridae.
UAACUUGGUAAAUUACACUGUUCUUAAGUUGCCAGAAUAAAAAAUAUGUCCAUGUCUACACAACAGUGUAAAUAACAAAAGAAGGGGUUUCAUGAUAGUGUCAAUUAGUGGAUUUCAUGAGGAGCAUCAAUCUAAAUAUCACAAGAAACGAAAAUGAUGAUGAGGAAAACCCUAAGAGCAUCUCCAUGGCUACAGUUCAUUUUUAACUUUCUGCUUUGGACUUCUCUCUGGACUCUGGGUUGUAAAUCUGUACAAUAUGUCCUUUAAAAAAACUGAAUACAUAUUUAUUAAGUACUUGUUUACAGUAGAAAUAUUCUCGACUUUGGGACUAUAUGCUCAAAGAUGAGCCAAAUAUAUAAUUCUCUGUAUAACAAAGAAAAAAGUUUGAAAUUUCCAAAGAUGAACAUGGAGAAGUAAGAGUGCAGUCUGAUGCAGUUAUGGAGGUUAGGCUCAGAAUAUCUAUUCCAAUUUUCUUCUAGUGUACUUCCCUUUCCUGUGGCGAGCAGAAAGCUAAAACAAAAAUUUCUCCAGUUCCUUUUCAGCUGGUGAUUCAAGUUUGAUUCAGGUUUCACAUCAGAUGAGAUCACAGGAGACUUGAAAUCUGAACUGAGAAAAAUGGGAGAUUGGAUCAUUCACUCUGGGGGAAGCAGGCUGCCAUGUUGUGAGGGCAUUCAAGCUGCCCUAUGGAAAGGCCACAUGGUGAGGAAUUGAGGCCUCCUCCAACAGCCAUGAUACUGGAUUAUGGUAUGCCCUAAUCC